UAGGGAAUCUUCGGCAAUGGACGGAAGUCUGACCGAGCAACGCCGCGUGAGUGAAGAAGGUUUUCGGAUCGUAAAGCUCUGUUGUUAGAGAAGAACGUUGGUAGGAGUGGAAAAUCUACCAAGUGACGGUAACUAACCAGAAAGGGACGGCUAACUACGUGCCAGCAGCCGCGGUAAUACGUAGGUCCCGAGCGUUGUCCGGAGUUAUUGGGCGUAAAGUGAGUGCAGGCGGUUCUUUAAGUCUGAAGUUAAAGGCAGUGGCUUAACCAUUGUACUCUUUGGAAACUGGAUGACUUGAGUGCAGAAGGGGGGAGUGGAAUUCCAUGUGUAGCGGUGAAAUGCGUAGAUAUAUGGAGGAACACCGGUGGAGAAAGCGGCUCUCUGGUCUAUAACUGACGAUGAGGCUCGAAAGCGUGGGGAGCAAACAGG
This 429-nucleotide ribosomal RNA is filed under the name Bacillota bacterium. Its description in RNAcentral is "Firmicutes bacterium partial 16S ribosomal RNA". It matches the Rfam family "Bacterial small subunit ribosomal RNA", at positions 355 to 776 of the family's 1533-position model. The record is from RNAcentral. Lineage: Bacteria; Bacillati; Bacillota.